AUAGGGGAGCCGCAGGGAAACCGAGUCUUAACCGGGCGUUAAGUUGCAGGGUAUAGACCCGAAACCCGGUGAUCUAGCCAUGGGCAGGUUGAAGGUUGGGUAACACUAACUGGAGGACCGAACCGACUAAUGUUGAAAAAUUAGCGGAUGACCUGUGGCUGGGGGUGAAAGGCCAAUCAAACCGGGAGAUAGCUGGUUCUCCCCGAAAGCUAUUUAGGUAGCGCCUCGUGAAUUCAUCUCCGGGGGUAGAGCACUGUUUCGGCUAGGGGGCCAUCCCGGCUUACCAACCCGAUGCAAACUGCGAAUACCGGAGAAUGUUAUCACGGGAGACACACGGCGGGUGCUAACGUCCGUCGUGAAGAGGGAAACAACCCAGACCGCCAGCUAAGGUCCCAAAGUCAUGGUUAAGUGGGAAACGAUGUGGGAAGGCCCAGACAGCCAGGAUGUUGGCUUAGAAGCAGCCAUCAUUUAAAGAAAGCGUAAUAGCUCACUGGUCGAGUCGGCCUGCGCGGAAGAUGUAACGGGGCUAAACCAUGCACCGAAGCUGCGGCAGCGACACUCAGGUGUUGUUGGGUAGGGGAGCGUUCUGUAAGCCUGCGAAGGUGGCCUGUGAGGGUUGCUGGAGGUAUCAGAAGUGCGAAUGCUGACAUAAGUAACGAUAAAGCGGGUGAAAAGCCCGCUCGCCGGAAGACCAAGGGUUCCUGUCCAACGUUAAUCGGGGCAGGGUGAGUCGACCCCUAAGGCGAGGCCGAAAGGCGUAGUCGAUGGGAAACGGGUUAAUAUUCCCGUACUUGGUGUUACUGCGAAGGGGGGACGGAGAAGGCUAUGUUGGCCGGGCGACGGUUGUCCCGGUUUAAGCGUGUAGGUGUGUGUUCCAGGUAAAUCCGGUUCACUUUAACACUGAGGCGUGAUGACGAGGCACUACGGUGCUGAAGCAACAAAUGCCCUGCUUCCAGGAAAAGCCUCUAAGCAUCAGGUAACAUCAAAUCGUACCCCAAACCGACACAGGUGGUCAGGUAGAGAAUACCAAGGCGCUUGAGAGAACUCGGGUGAAGGAACUAGGCAAAAUGGUGCCGUAACUUCGGGAGAAGGCACGCUGACAC
This 1103-nucleotide ribosomal RNA is filed under the name Salmonella enterica subsp. enterica serovar Nima. RNAcentral describes it as "partial 23S ribosomal RNA". It matches the Rfam family "Bacterial large subunit ribosomal RNA", at positions 657 to 1757 of the family's 2925-position model. Lineage: Bacteria; Pseudomonadati; Pseudomonadota; Gammaproteobacteria; Enterobacterales; Enterobacteriaceae. The record is from RNAcentral.